CCUACGGGGGACAGCAGUGAGGAAUAUUGGUCAAUGGACGAGAGUCUGAACCAGCCAAGUAGCGUGAAGGAUGACUGCCCUAUGGGUUGUAAACUUCUUUUAUAUGGGAAUAAAAUGUUCCACGUGUGGGAUUUUGUAUGUACCAUAUGAAUAAGGAUCGGCUAACUCCGUGCCAGCAGCCGCGGUAAUACGGAGGAUCCGAGCGUUAUCCGGAUUUAUUGGGUUUAAAGGGAGCGUAGAUGGGUUGUUAAGUCAGUUGUGAAAGUUUGCGGCUCAACCGUAAAAUUGCAAUUGAUACUGGCAGCAUUGAGUACAGUUGAGGUAGGCGGAAUUCGUGGUGUAGCGGUGAAAUGCUUAGAUAUCACGAAGAACUCCGAUUGCGAAGGCAGCCUACUAAACUGCCACUGACAUUGAUGCUCGAAAGUGUGGGUAUCAAACAGGAUUAGAUACCCGAGUAGUC
Molecule: ribosomal RNA, 460 nt
Filed under: uncultured bacterium
Lineage: Bacteria
Description: partial 16S ribosomal RNA
Rfam family: Bacterial small subunit ribosomal RNA
Source: RNAcentral